GAAGUCAAUCUAUAUGCAUAGUGCCAAUCAACACCAAGCGUGACAGAAGAAAAUACCAACCCUUGUCCUGAUUCCACCUCCUCAUCAAUCAAUCCAACCCAUCUUUCUAGGCUACAUGGUCCCCAUGAUCCAUAAAAAACUCUCAAGAGAGCAAGGACUUGGAAUCUGUACACAGGGCAUAUUGUAACUAUGUUUGCAAAAUGACAUGUUUCUUGCUUGUAUAGGUGUGGAAAGGAGCUAGCUGAAAGAUUGGUCUUAGGUCGUGCCUCUCGUGCUUUCUAGUGGUUACAAGUGACAAGGUAGCCACAACCAAUGAGCUAAUGCCUUGCAUGAAUGAUUGGCCCCAAAUCAUAAUCAAUAUUGUAGCAGCCCAAUAUCCAUUGCAUCUCUCCUCCAUCUUAUUAGAGCGAAUCGCUUUCUUUUAUACGUGUUGUUUAAGGUCAUAUAAUUCAUUCCGG
RNAcentral lists this long non-coding RNA (458 nucleotides) under Populus trichocarpa (black cottonwood). Its description in RNAcentral is "long non-coding RNA (PTRI_LNC000145)". Lineage: Eukaryota; Viridiplantae; Streptophyta; Magnoliopsida; Malpighiales; Salicaceae. The record is from RNAcentral.